CUCUUCCCAAAUUUUCAACAACGCCACCAGACUGCCCUUGCAAUGUCCAUCACUUGGAAUCGUCUCGGCCCGACGCACCCCAGGCCAAUGAAGCUUGCUCGAGAUGAAGCCGCCGUCACUUCUGGUCGACUGUCGCAAUGAGGAUACCGCAUUGCCAAUUCGACGCGCGUCCACGCCAUCUCUUUCGCCCACCCAUCCUCCGAGCACGUCGCCUCCCCCACAGUUCUCCGAUUCCAGUUUUCCGAAAGGAAUGCCCUCGUGGCCGCUACCUUUGAACUGGACAACCACAGUGCGUCGUAGCUUGGAUCCUGUAUCAGGUGCCUACCAAGCUUGCCGCGGUUGGAUGACUGUGGUCGAUUCCUGUCACCCCAGACAGGCCAGUUUCUCGGGUGGUGAAUUGGUCUCGGAACUUAACCCUAAUCAUUCCUUUGGUUCCAAGUCUUGCGCUCCAUAGUCAUUCCGAGCGCCUUCUAGUCUCACGUCGGCCGGGGUUGGGUCAGUGCCGCUGAAAAGUGGUAUGGCCUUGCCUCUGCGUUGGACAACGGGAUGACCGGCGCGAGGAGUUCCAGUCACCGUGUGUGGGCAACGAUCCCUUCCCAUGAGUCAAUACCGGUAAGAGUCCCUGGGGACCGCUCGUCGGGAUUGGACGCUGGAAGUACGACUCUGGUCACGAUGGGAUAGCUCGCGGCGAUGUCCGCUGGUCGACGUCCUGCCGGACGCAUGAGCCUUUGGCGGAUACAUUUGGCAGCUUGCUGCUGCAUGCACGCUAUGCUAUCAUCUGCUUACGCAGGCAGCCACGGAACAAGAGGGAGAGCGCAGUCGGCUACACACGGUCAUCCGGACGUUUCUCUCUUGUCGGCAGUCUGCCUUGUGGCUCCAAGGGCUGUUCGACUCCAACGGAAAUGUUACAACGGAUGAUUUCUUUUCGCCUCACUGUCUGGCUCUCGGUACCCUCGCGUUCCUACCCUCUAUCGCAUGCGUAUCUUACCUCGCCAGCCAGCCGACUCCCACGAGCCGUGCGAGGUCUUAGGAUCCGCGCGUCAUCGGGCCUUGAGGCCGAUGAGAUCCCGACCAGGCGCAUUAACUCGUCCUCGUAGGCGACGGCCCUACGAUACGACGGGACGCCAAAAAAUCUGUGUGCCUGAUUCUUCCCGCCGAAAGGUGACGAGGCAUCAGCGCAUUCAAUCAUUCCUCCGCCCACCUAGGUUGUACUCCUGGGUCUGGGGUCUGGAGAUGACAGCGCGGUUUUUUCGGAUGUCUUUUGUCCGUGCGGUAACUCGCCCUCCUGUACGUCCUUCCGCCGCCAAAGGGCCGCGGCUACGGGAGAGGAAACAAAAACUAGUCCUUGUUGGCAGUGCAGUACAUACGGAAAGAUUUGGCGCUUGUCGUUGCUCGAGCUGCUGGUGAUGCCGGUCCCAGUGCGAACGUGACGUUUUGAUGCGCUUCAUCGAUGACAACGGGCUUCAUUUCAAUGGCUGGCGUUUUCAACGCCGAAGGCCUUGACAUAUGUUGCGAGUUUCCGUCUGGUGGCUCCAAGGCAACCGCAAUUGGAACAAGUGCCUAUAUCUACCCUUUGACAACGGGCGGUGGCAUAAGAAGCGAGAACCAGGUCUGGGACCCAUCUUGAGUUGGUGUCAAAGCUUCGCGCUUGUCUGGACCUGGAAACUCUGGUGGAUUAUGUCCCAUCUGGAGUCGGGGAUUCGAGAAGGAUUUGCUGUGUUCCUGAUUUGCAGGCUUGCCAUAUAUUUUUGGAACUUUUGGGCAGAUUUAUCGCCCUUGGUUGUCCUCUCAUUUCCCUUGAGGGAAUCGGGAGGGCAACCCCUCUCUUUGAGAGG
RNAcentral lists this telomerase RNA (1835 nucleotides) under Thermochaetoides thermophila DSM 1495. RNAcentral's name for it is "Chaetomium thermophilum var. thermophilum DSM 1495 Ascomycota telomerase RNA". It matches the Rfam family "Ascomycota telomerase RNA". The record is from Rfam by way of RNAcentral. Lineage: Eukaryota; Fungi; Ascomycota; Sordariomycetes; Sordariales; Chaetomiaceae.